UACGUAGGGUCCGAGCGUUGUCCGGAAUUAUUGGGCGUAAAGGGCUCGUAGGCGGUUUGUCACGUCGGGCGUGAAAACUCAGGGCUCAACCCUGAGCGUGCGUUCGAUACGGGCAGACUAGAGGUAUGCAGGGGAGAACGGAAUUCCUGGUGUAGCGGUGAAAUGCGCAGAUAUCAGGAGGAACACCGGUGGCGAAGGCGGGUCUCUGGGCCGAUACUGACGCUGAGGAGCGAAAGCGUGGGGAGCGAACAGG
Molecule: ribosomal RNA, 253 nt
Filed under: uncultured bacterium
Lineage: Bacteria
Description: partial 16S ribosomal RNA
Rfam family: Bacterial small subunit ribosomal RNA
Source: RNAcentral